Ictidomys tridecemlineatus (thirteen-lined ground squirrel) is the source of this 723-nucleotide non-coding RNA. Lineage: Eukaryota; Metazoa; Chordata; Mammalia; Rodentia; Sciuridae. The record is from RefSeq and is a predicted model, not a curated record.
GAAGGUAUUUUAGUGAAUAAACCACUUCCUUUUCACUCUUUGGUCCCCAGACAUCUCUAUCACUGCUGCCUCCCGCUCCUACUCUAACCAUCUGCUGUUCUAACAAUCACAGUAUCCAUUUGUCUGGGGAAUGAAGGUGGAGACAAUAGAAAGAGUCUUGGCAGAGGCAAGGAGGCAGGAUCAGGUACAGUUCAAUGGGACAAUGGAGCAUGUGUCAGAGGCUUGGAGGCCAAGUUCAGGAGCAAUCCUGCCUCCCACCUCUCCCUGAAAUGGACCAGUCUCCACCCAGCAUCUGCAGCUGCCUUCCCUGGGGGCGAUUUGAGGGGGGUGGAGUGUGCUCUGAGACACAGGAAAAAAGAGGAGGAUUUGGGAAGGAAGAGGACAGAUAAGGGCAUGUGUAGAUGGAGACUGGGCCUGGUGAUGCAGCCACAAGCCAACAAAUGCUGGCAAUCACCAGCAGGUGGCAGAAGUCAAGAAUGGAUCCUUCUCUAGAGGCAAGACGUUCCUACUGACAUCUGGAGUUUAGACUUCUGAUCUCUGUUCCUGUGAGAGAAUAAAAUGUCUGUGGUUUUAGUAAUAUGUUUUGGCAGCCUUAGGAAACUAAACCAAGUAUUACGUGGACAAAACCCACAGAUUCAGAAUUCUGAUAACCACACCCAUCGCUCAGUCUCAACCAGUGUGAUCUGUAUAAUCUCAUUCUGAAUAAAGGACUGAUGAUUUUUU